RNAcentral lists this ribosomal RNA (438 nucleotides) under uncultured bacterium. Its description in RNAcentral is "bacterial SSU rRNA". It matches the Rfam family "Bacterial small subunit ribosomal RNA", at positions 87 to 518 of the family's 1533-position model. The record is from RNAcentral.
GGUGGCGACCGGCGCACGGGUGAGUAACGCGUAUGCAACCUACCUAUCAGAGGGGAAUAACCCGGCGAAAGUCGGACUAAUACCGCAUUAAAACAGGGGCACCGCAUGGUGAUAUUGUUAAAGAAAUUCGCUGAUAGAUGGGCAUGCGUUCCAUUAGGUAGUUGGUGAGGUAACGGCUCACCAAGCCGACGAUGGAUAGGGGAACUGAGAGGUUGGUCCCCCACACUGGUACUGAGACACGGACCAGACUCCUACGGGAGGCAGCAGUGAGGAAUAUUGGUCAAGUGGGCGGGAGCCUGAACCAGCCAAGUCGCGUGAAGGGAAAAGAAGGAUACUAUGGUUCGUAAACUUCUUUUGCAGGGGAAUAAAGUGCAGGACGUGUCCUGUUUUGUAUGUACCCUGAGAAUAAGGAUCGGCUAACUCCGUGCCAGCAGCAGC